UGAGGAAUAUUGGUCAAUGGACGCAAGUCUGAACCAGCCAUGCCGCGUGCAGGAAGACGGCCCUAUGGGUUGUAAACUGCUUUUGUAAGGGAAUAACCGCUCGUACGUGUACGAGUCUGAAUGUACCUUACGAAUAAGCAUCGGCUAACUCCGUGCCAGCAGCCGCGGUAAUACGGAGGAUGCAAGCGUUAUCCGGAUUUAUUGGGUUUAAAGGGUCCGCAGGCGGUAUAUUAAGUCAGUGGUGAAAUCCGGCAGCUCAACUGUCGCACUGCCAUUGAUACUGGUAUACUUGAGUGUAAUUGAAGUAGGCGGAAUAAGUCAUGUAGCGGUGAAAUGCAUAGAUAUGACUUAGAACACCAAUUGCGAAGGCAGCUUACUAAGUUACAACUGACGSUGAGGGACGAAAGCGUGGGUAGCAAACAGGAUUAGAUACCYUGGUMGUCCACGCUGUAAACGAUGAUCACUCGCUGUUGGCGAUAUAAUGUCAGCGGCCAAGCGAAAGCAUUAA
RNAcentral lists this ribosomal RNA (508 nucleotides) under uncultured bacterium. RNAcentral describes it as "bacterial SSU rRNA". It matches the Rfam family "Bacterial small subunit ribosomal RNA", at positions 355 to 863 of the family's 1533-position model. The record is from RNAcentral.